GAUUUACAUUUGAGUGAGUGGCGAACUGGUGAGUAACACGUGGGAAACCUGCCCAGAAGCGGGGGAUAACACCUGGAAACAGAUGCUAAUACCGCAUAACAACUUGGACCGCAUGGUCCGAGUUUGAAAGAUGGCUUCGGCUAUCACUUUUGGAUGGUCCCGCGGCGUAUUAGCUAGAUGGUGGGGUAACGGCUCACCAUGGCAAUGAUACGUAGCCGACCUGAGAGGGUAAUCGGCCACAUUGGGACUGAGACACGGCCCAAACUCCUACGGGAGGCAGCAGUAGGGAAUCUUCCACAAUGGACGAAAGUCUGAUGGAGCAACGCCGCGUGAGUGAAGAAGGGUUUCGGCUCGUAAAACUCUGUUGUUAAAGAAGAACAUAUCUGAGAGUAACUGUUCAGGUAUUGACGGUAUUUAACCAGAAAGCCACGGCUAACUACGUGCCAGCAGCCGCGGUAAUACGUAGGUGGCAAGCGUUGUCCGGAUUUAUUGGGCGUAAAGCGAGCGCAGGCGGUUUUUUAAGUCUGAUGUGAAAGCCUUCGGCUCAACCGAAGAAGUGCAUCGGAAACUGGGAAACUUGAGUGCAGAAGAGGACAGUGGAACUCCAUGUGUAGCGGUGAAAUGCGUAGAUAUAUGGAAGAACACCAGUGGCGAAGGCGGCUGUCUGGUCUGUAACUGACGCUGAGGCUCGAAAGUAUGGGUAGCAAACAGGAUUAGAUACCCUGGUAGUCCAUACCGUAAACGAUGAAUGCUAAGUGUUGGAGGGUUUCCGCCCUUCAGUGCUGCAGCUAACGCAUUAAGCAUUCCGCCUGGGGAGUACGGCCGCAAGGCUGAAACUCAAAGGAAUUGACGGGGGCCCGCACAAGCGGUGGAGCAUGUGGUUUAAUUCGAAGCUACGCGAAGAACCUUACCAGGUCUUGACAUACUAUGCAAAUCUAAGAGAUUAGACGUUCCCUUCGGGGACAUGGAUACAGGUGGUGCAUGGUUGUCGUCAGCUCGUGUCGUGAGAUGUUGGGUUAAGUCCCGCAACGAGCGCAACCCUUAUUAUCAGUUGCCAGCAUUAAGUUGGGCACUCUGGUGAGACUGCCGGUGACAAACCGGAGGAAGGUGGGGAUGACGUCAAAUCAUCAUGCCCCUUAUGACCUGGGCUACACACGUGCUACAAUGGAUGGUACAACGAGUUGCGAACUCGCGAGAGUAAGCUAAUCUCUUAAAGCCAUUCUCAGUUCGGAUUGUAGGCUGCAACUCGCCUACAUGAAGUCGGAAUCGCUAGUAAUCGCGGAUCAGCAUGCCGCGGUGAAUACGUUCCCGGGCCUUGUACACACCGCCCGUCACACCAUGAGAGUUUGUAACACCCAAAGU
RNAcentral lists this ribosomal RNA (1362 nucleotides) under Lactiplantibacillus plantarum. Its description in RNAcentral is "bacterial SSU rRNA". It matches the Rfam family "Bacterial small subunit ribosomal RNA", at positions 76 to 1427 of the family's 1533-position model. The record is from RNAcentral. Lineage: Bacteria; Bacillati; Bacillota; Bacilli; Lactobacillales; Lactobacillaceae.